Molecule: unclassified non-coding RNA, 239 nt
Filed under: Melaleuca gracilis
Lineage: Eukaryota; Viridiplantae; Streptophyta; Magnoliopsida; Myrtales; Myrtaceae
Source: RNAcentral
CAUUUUGGGUUUUUUUUCCUCCCGAUUUCUUUGGAGAUCCCAUUUUGCGACGCGCGGCGUCGGGCUCGGAAAGAUCUUUCCGAGGAGUACUCACGGACUCCGGGAGUCCAUCGGGAUCGAAAGAUAGGCACGUUAACGCGGAGACGCGCUGUUUACUGAGAAAUCAAAAUUUUCGAAUUUCGUCGUGUGAAGUUGAGCGGUAAAUUCGCCUUAAGUAAAUUUGCAAUGCGUAACAUGAC